This 18-nucleotide small nuclear RNA is filed under the name Arabidopsis thaliana (thale cress). RNAcentral's name for it is "snRNA_12733". Lineage: Eukaryota; Viridiplantae; Streptophyta; Magnoliopsida; Brassicales; Brassicaceae. The record is from RNAcentral.
GUGCAUCAGAGAGAUUCC